RNAcentral lists this ribosomal RNA (630 nucleotides) under Gammaproteobacteria bacterium. Its description in RNAcentral is "bacterial SSU rRNA". It matches the Rfam family "Bacterial small subunit ribosomal RNA", at positions 1 to 622 of the family's 1533-position model. Lineage: Bacteria; Pseudomonadati; Pseudomonadota; Gammaproteobacteria. The record is from RNAcentral.
AAACUGAAGAGUUUGAUCAUGGCUCAGAUUGAACGUUGGCGGCAGGCUUAACACAUGCAAGUCGAGCGGUAACAGUGGGAGCUUGCUCCCAGCUGACGAGCGGCGGACGGGUGAGUAACGCGUAGGAAUCUACCUAGUAGUGGGGGACAACCCGAGGAAACUCGGGCUAAUACCGCAUACGCUCUUAGGAGGAAAGCGGGGGAUCUUCGGACCUCGCGCUAUUAGAGGAGCCUGCGUCGGAUUAGCUAGUUGGUGAGGUAAAGGCUCACCAAGGCGACGAUCCGUAGCUGGUCUGAGAGGACGACCAGCCACACUGGAACUGAGACACGGUCCAGACUCCUACGGGAGGCAGCAGUAGGGAAUCUUGUGCAAUGGGGGAAACCCUGACACAGCCAUGCCGCGUGUGUGAAGAAGGCCUUAGGGUUGUAAAGCACUUUCAGUGGGGAGGAAAGGUUGAUGGUUAAUACCCAUCCGCUGUGACGUUACCCACAGAAGAAGCACCGGCUAACUCCGUGCCAGCAGCCGCGGUAAUACGGAGGGUGCAAGCGUUAAUCGGAAUUACUGGGCGUAAAGCGCGCGUAGGCGGCUUGUUAAGUUGGAUGUGAAAGCCCUGGGCUCAACCUGGGAACU